RNAcentral lists this ribosomal RNA (254 nucleotides) under uncultured bacterium. Its description in RNAcentral is "partial 16S ribosomal RNA". It matches the Rfam family "Bacterial small subunit ribosomal RNA", at positions 524 to 776 of the family's 1533-position model. The record is from RNAcentral.
UACGUAGGGUGCGAGCGUUGUCCGGAAUUAUUGGGCGUAAAGAGCUCGUAGGCGGUGUGUCACGUCGGCCGUGAAAACCUGCAGCUUAACUGUGGGCGUGCGGUCGAUACGGGCAUCACUGGAGUUCGGCAGGGGAGACUGGAAUUCCUGGUGUAGCGGUGAAAUGCGCAGAUAUCAGGAGGAACACCGGUGGCGAAGGCGGCUCUCUGGACCGGUUCUGACGCUCAGGCGCGAAAGCGUGGGGAGCGAUCCGG